This 465-nucleotide ribosomal RNA is filed under the name Vreelandella stevensii. RNAcentral's name for it is "partial 16S ribosomal RNA". It matches the Rfam family "Bacterial small subunit ribosomal RNA", at positions 338 to 795 of the family's 1533-position model. Lineage: Bacteria; Pseudomonadati; Pseudomonadota; Gammaproteobacteria; Oceanospirillales; Halomonadaceae. The record is from RNAcentral.
CCUACGGGAGGCAGCAGUGGGGAAUAUUGGACAAUGGGCGAAAGCCUGAUCCAGCCAUGCCGCGUGUGUGAAGAAGGCCUUCGGGUUGUAAAGCACUUUCAGUGGGGAAGAAAGCCUUGGGGCUAAUACCCUCGAGGAAGGACAUCACCCACAGAAGAAGCACCGGCUAACUCCGUGCCAGCAGCCGCGGUAACACGGAGGGUGCGAGCGUUAAUCGGAAUUACUGGGCGUAAAGCGCGCGUAGGCGGUCUGAUAAGCCGGUUGUGAAAGCCCCGGGCUCAACCUGGGAACGGCAUCCGGAACUGUCAGGCUAGAGUGCAGGAGAGGAAGGUAGAAUUCCCGGUGUAGCGGUGAAAUGCGUAGAGAUCGGGAGGAAUACCAGUGGCGAAGGCGGCCUUCUGGACUGACACUGACGCUGAGGUGCGAAAGCGUGGGUAGCAAACAGGAUUAGAUACCCGGGUAGUC